AACGAACGCUGGCGGCAGGCUUAACACAUGCAAGUCGAACGCCCCGCAAGGGGAGUGGCAGACGGGUGAGUAACGCGUGGGAAUCUACCCAGAACUUCGGAACAACUGAGGGAAACUUCAGCUAAUACCGGAUACGCCCUACGGGGAAAGAUUUAUCGGUUUUGGAUGAGCCCGCGUUGGAUUAGCUAGUUGGUGAGGUAAUGGCUCACCAAGGCGACGAUCCAUAGCUGGUCUGAGAGGAUGAUCAGCCACACUGGGACUGAGACACGGCCCAGACCUCCUACGGGAGGCAGCAGGUGGGGAAUAUUGGACAAGUGGGCGCAAGCCUGAUCCAGCCAUGCCGCGUGAGUGAUGAAGGCCUUAGGGUUAGUAAAGCUCUUUCAGGUAGGGAAGAUAAUGACUGUACCC
Molecule: ribosomal RNA, 408 nt
Filed under: uncultured bacterium
Lineage: Bacteria
Description: bacterial SSU rRNA
Rfam family: Bacterial small subunit ribosomal RNA
Source: RNAcentral